AUUGAACGCUGGCGGCGUGCCUAACACAUGCAAGUCGAGCGGUAACAGGUGUAGGCAAUACAUGCUGACGAGCGGCGAACGGGUGAGUAAUGCUUCGGAAUCGUACCCAAUGGUGGGGAAGUAACCAGCCGAAAGGUUGGCUAAUACCGCAUACGUCCCACGGGAGAAAGCAGGGGAUACGCAAGACCUUGCGCCAAUGGAUCGAGCCGAAGUCGGAUUAGCUAGUUGGA
This 230-nucleotide ribosomal RNA is filed under the name uncultured bacterium. RNAcentral describes it as "partial 16S ribosomal RNA". It matches the Rfam family "Bacterial small subunit ribosomal RNA", at positions 30 to 253 of the family's 1533-position model. The record is from RNAcentral.